This is a long non-coding RNA of Prinia subflava (tawny-flanked prinia), 6011 nucleotides long. RefSeq lists it as uncharacterized. Lineage: Eukaryota; Metazoa; Chordata; Aves; Passeriformes; Cisticolidae. The record is from RefSeq and is a predicted model, not a curated record. The transcript is spliced from 2 exons.
CUGACACCGUUCCCAUCCCUCCACGCGCACUGGCACGGUGCGGUCCAGUUUCCGCUUCCUGGUUUAUUGUAACAAUGGCUCCUGCCUCCAGCUGCACGGCCGGAGCAACGGGCCCUGCAGCCCCCCGUGUGAUGCGAUCCGUCUCCACCUCCCCCGAUUUCACGGCGCGUGGAGGAGACCCCUCCUGUCUGCGCCCCAUGGCAGCUUCCCCCACCGCGGCGGCAGAACUCCCAUCCGCUUUCGCCUCCAGCUUAGGCUGUGCGAGCACGGGCGGUCGCGGAGCCUGCCCUGUGUUCUUUGGAAUGCAGCCUUCUCCUCCAUCUGGAACUGGAAUCGGAGUUGUCCCCGCUGUCCUGCAGCUGCGAGAUGACGCUCCCCGGGACCCUGGGUCACGUCGGUCCGACUGGAGAUUCAGAGGAUGGCGAACUGCUGACUCUGUUGUUAUCUUCUGAUGACGGAGUUUUGUCUUCUGAGUCUCUGGCUGUCGAAACGGCUCGAAGGACCAGUUCUCGGGGUUGAUGUUCCCUGAGAUUCCCCUCGGGGCGGCCGUUCCCCGAGGUGGUGAAAUCUUCCCCCAGGGUUGCUGUUCCCUGGGUAUUUUCCUGGGGUUGCUGUUCCCCAAGAUAAUAAGGUUUUCUGUCUUCUCGUUGCCCUGAGCGUUUCACACCAAAGGCAGAGACGACACUGUGAGUCCAGCAGCUCAAGUUAUCAAGGUUGUUUAUUUCAUAUUAUCUAACAGUUCUUGUUCGGCUUUGCAAGGCGUCCCCAGCAAAGCAAGACACGCCGUUGGACUGGCGCUGGGCUGCCGCCGGACUGGGCUGCCGCCGGACUGGGGCGGAUCAGAGAGCCCGUACCUUAUGUACCGCACUCCCGACCCAACCACAGUCCAAGACGUAUUUAUUGUUUACAGAACAUUACCAAUACUAACUUGCUACGCUAACAUGUCAGUUCUAUUCUAAACCAAUCUCUAAAGUCCAAAUCAGCAAAAGAUGGGGGAUGAGAACAAGAACAAGGAAACUAGGGGCCACUCCCCAAUUCCUCCAUCUUGUCCUCUCAGCCCCGUAUACUAUGAAUCCUAAUCUCUAUAUGUAUACUCUAUAACAAACUAUCUACUUCAAAAUUCUUAGGAUCUGUGAUUCUUUCUUCAUGUGAGCAUUCACUUCCAUGGAUAGAAGCCCGAAUCAGAGUCCUUCUGGGCUCUGUGGGAGGCUGGCUGACCCCCUUGUACAGAUCCCAGACCCCCCUGUACAGCCCCCUUGUUCUCCAGGGCUGUCAGAGGGAUCCUCUGGACUCCAACAGCUGCUCAGCGGCGGCCCCGUGCUCGAGGACUGCUAGGUAGAUUCCCCUGAGAGCUCGAGGAGGCUGCUACGGCAGUAACAGCUUCCCGUGCUCCAGGUGUACCUCAGCAGAUUUUAAGAGCUCCAGCUAUGGCGCUGCGCUGCAGCCCUAAGCUGUGCUCGCGACACUUUCAGGUGGCUAAAACUGGUUAUUUAGUUACCGUCCAUGGAGAAAUCUCCUACGGGUGGAAAAGGCUGGAUCCGUAGUCCAUCCACGGCUGGGCACCAAUUGAAGGAGUUUCUCCGUGACGGUAGAGUCGGCGACAAAGUAUCUCUAUAAGCAAUGAGCAGGGGUAACACGUGGUUUAUUGUGAAGGCCUUGCUUGUAGCUGCUGGGCACAGCUAAAGCAGGCCAGGAGAGCAAGAACAGCGAACAGAGCCGAGAGAGGGCAGAGCCCCGAAUCCCGUACAUUAAAUAUCUUUCUAAGUUGAAGAGUAUGAGUUGGACCAACCAAUCUAAUACAAGAUGACAACAUAUACAGCCAAUAGAAAUGUCCUACCACCCAAGGCAAGCAGAAGGGGAUUGUUUAAUUAAAUGAUCUGGCCCUCAGCUUAGCAGAAGUAUAUUGUUUAAUCAAGGGGGCUGGCCCUCAGCUUAGCAGGUCGUUGUUCACAAGCUGAUGGCCCUGCACCCCACACCCUAAAUCUCAAAGCAUGCUUUCAUUUCUAUCUCGCUUGUUGAACUCAGACUCCCAGAAUCUAAACCACUAUAUUUGUAAGGUCUUUCUACUUCAUCCUUCCCAACACAAACCCAUGGCACAGCACAGCUGCUCCUGGACAUGGCACCUCCCUGGCAAGGGGCUGAGCUCCCCCCAAAUCGUGGCAGCAAAGAGGGAGGCUCCUGGAUUUGGGGUCUCUGCUGCAGCCUGAAGCUUGAGGCUGAAAAUUUAAAACACUUCAGCACAGAUGAGCCUUUCUUUGGGGAAGAGGCUGAGUGUCAGCUCUUACAGCUUCCAGCAGAAGAUGCUCAUGGCUACCCCAUCCCUGGAAGUGUCCAAGGCCAGGUUGGAUGGGGCUUGGAGCAACCUGGGAUAGUGGAAGGUGUCCCUGCCCAUGGCAAGGGUGCAACAAUAUGAGUUUUAAGGUCCCUUCAAACUCAAACCAUUCUGGAUUCUCCAACUCUGAGCUCUUUGAUAUCUCAGGUCCCCUUGCACCAAGGAUGGGCCCACAGGAGAGCUCUCCCUUCACAGCCUGGCAGAAUAACCCAGAAAUAAAUGGGAUAAUGCAGCAUCAGAUACCUCUGUGCCUCCUCCUGAGACACAAAGAGAGAGCGGUCCCUGGAGCAGAGAUUCCAGAGGAGGUCUGAGCUCCAGCAAGGCCCUCCACCAGUGACACAGAGCAGCUGGGUGGUAGGAGACACCCAGCAGACAAUCAGGCAGAUUCAGCCCUCCAGAUGGCACAGAGAUAACUAAUUACUUGCUAAUUAAUAAUCAGUUUCCUGUGAUUUUAUCUUAAUUGGGCUCUUUCCUACCCAGGCUUCUACAGCAUCGCCCUUGUUUGGAGCGAGCAGCGCUGAGCUGUGGUCCCCUGGCUGCUGGGGUCCCCAUUCCUUGUCUGUGAAUUAAGGGAAUGUUCCCAUUCCCUUCCCAGUGUGGGAAGGGGCUGAGUGGGGCAGUCCUGGGAAGGCCUGGGAGCUGUCAGAGCUGUUGAUGGGAAUGUUGUGCCUCAGGGUAUCACCCCCAGGCUUUGUUUGCCUAUAAAACCCUGAGCAUUUCUGUAGGACUAUGAAUAAUAAAUCCAUAAAAAUAAUCGAUAGCAGAAUUCCUGGGUCAGGGCUGUCAGGGACAUGUGGCAGCAUCCUGUCUCUCCUCUCCUUGUUUCUCCCCUGCUAGGCCAAGACAAGACAUCUCACUCUCCCCAGUGAAACUGACACUUCCCCACCACCCUAUCCUGCCCCUUCCCACACCUCAGACCCCUCAGAUUCCCCAGAUCCUCAUCCCUCUGGGUCCCAACUGGGACAGUCUGAGCCUAGCAGCCCCUGGACACAUGAUGACUGUCCCUCCAUCCCUGCUGGUUCCCUGCCAGCUCCUGGAGGGAGCAGCCAGCCCCAGGUGAGCAGCAUCACUGCCCUGGCUCCCUGACCUGGAAAACUCAACCACAUCCUCAUGGACCGCAAGGGGAAAGGGCAAAACCAUGGGACACUACUUGGAUUUCCUCCUGGGAAAGGAGCUCUGGCACAAUUAGCACACAUGGGCUGGAAUGAUCCCUCCCACAAUUGUGGCUCGGAAGGAGGUGUGUAGAGACAGGUGAUGAGUGUGCUGGGCUGGGAGGUGUCCUGUGCCACAGGGCUUUGUCCCCCAUCCCUGGAUUCCAGCAGCUGGAGGGGAUGGAGGGGCUGGGAAGAGGAGCUCCAGCUUCCAGAAAACACCAUUUGUGUUCAGUCUUGCUGCUGCCUCCAGGCACAACCAUGAGGAAGAGGAUGGUAAAGGAUCUCAGCAAUUCUGUGUUGGGAAAGGGUAGCAAAUUUCCCCCCAGGUCCUCCCUAACUUUCAUGCCAGGAUCUGCCCAGCCUUGGCUUUGCCCAUGGGCAUCACCAGGAUGUGCUGGCACGCCCAGGCUGAGCUGGGUCCCACCAGGACCCCCUGUGCAGCAGCAAGGAGGGGAGAGCUUGGGGCAGAGUGAAUCCCUUGGAGCAGCUUUUCCAUGGUUUAAUUAUAUUCCAGGUAUUUUGGUGCAUUGGCUGUAAUUACAGUUCAACAUUUGAGUCAAAACAAGAGCAAAAAUCUUCCAACCACUUUAAAGAGCUACUUUGAGUGAGGAAAGCAAUAAAACACCCCGUGCUUAAACAAAUCCUUCCCACAUUUCAUCAUUCCCCUUCCCAGUCCUGGCUAAUUAUCAAAGCUAUCCAUGUUUUGGGAAUGGGCUCUGUCAUGGGUUCGCGCUGGCCAUGUUUUUCCAAACAAACCACUGUGAGAUGUGAUCAGGAACAGAGCAGAGCAGGCCCAAAACUUGGAAAUGGAAAGAAAACUUUGUUAAACUACAUAAGAACAGAAAUAGAAGGGGAAAAAAAAAACCCUAAACACACAAAAAACAGAAAUGAAAACCUCCCAGAACAUUUCUUCUCCUCCCCCCAAUUUCCACCUUUCCACGCUCAGACCUUUAACACUUACACUUUGCCUUCCAUCUUACUUGCUCAAACAAAACCCUGGGUUCCCAAUCAAAGUCAUCAUCACUCAAAAAGAACCAAUCUUCAAUUCAUCAAGGGAGAGAGGAGUCUCUCUCGCACCAUAGACCCCCCCACAGGAAACACAGGUCCACCCUCCCGUGUUUCCAUGUCACCCAUGGCACCGCCCAGAGAAGUCUGCCAUGGUGACACCCUCCUUUCCAUGUCCAGUGCUCUCACCACUGUCCAUGGACCAAAGCUGCAUAUAGGGCUCUUUUAAGGACGCUUGGCCAAGUACCAAAACACCAACCAUUUUUCUCAAUUUUUUGGGACAGCAGUCCCCCCCAUUUUCCCCUGGGGCUGAGGGUUCUAAGAACAGAGAUCUUCAUCCCUGAAGGCAGAGGGGGCCACCACACCCUCAUCCUCUCUUCUGUGUUCGCUCCACUCCUACAGUGCCAGUCACUGCAGCAAAGUCGAGCCUACUGCAUCCACCCAAAUACAGUCUAUGUUCAAGAGGAUUCAGGUUUGGUCUAUAGCUAACAUUAUGCAAGAAAAGUCCAGCCCAAAAAGCCACUCCUCUUCCUCUCUGCCCACCUGGGAUUCCUUUCCUCUUCCUCUGACAUCUCAGUCCCAGGCUGUCUCUCUCUCUUCUCUCAAACCACCAGCCAAGAGAAUCAAUGUCUGGAAAAAGUUUUCUUCCGCCUAAGAAAGAGUUAAAAGUCUCUGGCUCCCGGCAGGGCUGCAGGCUUGGCACUCCCCCACUCAGCUGGGCACUUUCCCCCCCCCCCCCCUUCUCUGCUGCUGGCUGCUGCCAAUACCAAUUCCGAAGCAGCAAUUUCUUCCAGGGGGGGCGGAACAAGGAUGGAAGGCACCUCCACAGUUCUCCACCCUUCCAUCCUGGAUAGGGGUUGGCCCAGCUCUAGUCCCUUUCACUCUCUUCUCUCUCUCCAGAGCACUGGCCUACCUCAGCUCGGCCGCAUGGCUAUUCCCCUCCCCCACCUAGCCCUGUGAGCUGGGCAGGGGAGGGUGUGUGCUCUUCUGCAACCAGAACCAAAGAGGAGGGUCCCUCUAGGAGUCCUUGCUUUUAACCCCUUGUGUUCUCAGAGGCGUGUCUAACCUCUCAGUGGCCACUCCAGGUGCCAGUAUUCAAACCUGACUACUGAUUGGUUUGACUACAACUUAUUGGAAAACUCACUUCCCCCUCAAACCAAGGCAGGCUCCUUUCCCCCUCCACCCUGCCUUGCAGUCUCAGUCCUUCCUCUGGGGUAUCGCAGUCCUUCCUGUGGACAUGGGACAAAGAGUCAAACAGAGUUGAUUAGCAUAGCUGGUUUGAUAACCAAGAUGUCAUGGCAGGAACAAACAGAGCUUUGAAGAUUACAGAAGAUGGGAUUAAACCUUCUUACAGGAAGAGAGAAGAUUCAGUCAAGACUGCUGCUAGCAAAAGAUGUUGUAGAAUGUAUGAGUUGUCUGUAUGAUCUUUAACCUGAUUAUUGUAGUGGAAAAUUAUUAACCUUUAUGAAAUGGUAUAUAAGUCUGGAAAAUCUGAGUAAAAUCGAAUUCUGAUCACCGAA